UACGGGGGGGGCAAGCGUUGUCCGGAAUUACUGGGCGUAAAGAGCGUGUAGGCGGCCAAGCAGGUCCGUUGUGAAAACUGGAGGCUUAACCUCCAGACGUCGACGGAAACCGCGUGGCUAGAGUCCGGAAGAGGAGAGUGGAAUUCCUGGUGUAGCGGUGAAAUGCGCAGAUAUCAGGAAGAACACCAAUGGCGAAGGCAGCUCUCUGGGACGGUACUGACGCUGAGACGCGAAAGCGUGGGGAGCGAACAGG
RNAcentral lists this ribosomal RNA (253 nucleotides) under uncultured bacterium. Its description in RNAcentral is "partial 16S ribosomal RNA". It matches the Rfam family "Bacterial small subunit ribosomal RNA", at positions 524 to 776 of the family's 1533-position model. The record is from RNAcentral.